CGUACGAGGCGCAUGCGUAACAGCCUCAAGGGCCGAGCGCCGAAGGGACGCGUCGGGCCCCGCGGGAGGGUAGAGCUGCCGAAGUGACCUGUCUCGGCGCCCGCUUCGCUGCAGCCCCGGCUUCGCACGUUACCCUCCGGCUCCCCCUGGGCGGGUCAGCGGCGCCCAGCCCCCGCCGCACGGUCCAGUGGGUUCCCGCUGCGCGCCCCGCCCCGCCUCGCCUCGCCUCCCGGCGCCGCCUGAGCAGCGGGGCCGGGCUGCCCUGGCCGGGCAAGGGGCUCGGCCGCUGCUGACUCUCCCCGAGGGCACUGGCGGGCCGUUGGCGCUGAAGCACUGAGCCCCGGGCCCUCCCCGUGGAGCCGCGGGCUUUCCGCGCAGAGCCGCGCAGGGAAGAGGGGACGAUACUACUGGGGAGGCCCGGAGCCCGCCGCGCUGAGACCCUGCGUGAGAACUGGGGGAGAGGGUAGCUCAGCAUGGUUAUACAGUGCCACAUGACUAGCAGGGACUGACACAGAUAAUUACACUUGUGCAAGUUUCUCUUAUGUAGAAGGAUGCAUGUUUUACUAGAACCCAGACAGCGUUAUGCAGUCACAGGUCGGUGAUCGCGCAUGCGAGGGGCACUGUGGCGACCCUUCCCAUCUUGGAUACACUGAUCAGUCACAACAGGUGCAAAGUCCGUCUCGGGGCGGGUCUAGCUUCAGCCUUUUGUUUCCAAAGAACUUUGAACGUUUGAGUGUUUUAACGGUAAAGUAACUGUGGUUAAGAAAGUCCCUUGCUAAGCCUAUGUCUUCUGCUUUCCUGCCAUGUUAGCCCCAAAGGGGUUAAACUAGCCACCCAAAACAGCCUAGGUGGAGCUCUGCGUCAUGCAUGCAAGCCGCUGGGAGGCACAGGAGGUCUCAGUGACACAGAUUUCUUCCUACUGCAAUAGCAGCCCACAGAAGAGCUAAAACAAGAGGACUGAGCCAGUUUGUGUGCCCUAUAGACCCAGAGCAAGAAACUGACUGACCUCUACCUGAGCCAGAUGGCUUGGAAGGAAAGUAUGUAGAACUUAGCGAUUGAAUCUCCUCAGGGCAGACUGGGCCAACAGGGAGAAGUGGGGACAUACACCCAAGGCUACUGUCAGAGACUAACUCAGGUGCCCAAAAUUUAUUACUGAAGUGAACACUUGGGCCAAGAUAAACAAAUGGGUGCCUAAAGUUAAGCUCCUAAAUCCAUAUUUAGGAUUUCUGAUUGAGUACACAAUGGCAUUCAGAAUUUGGGGCUUCAGCAGAUGUACUCUAAGGCAAGGCUUCUGCACACUGAGCAUUCUCCUGCAUCUCAGGAAACCCUCAGGAGAAAAGUUUCAUGUAGUUGGAGGCACUGUCAAAGCUGUUCUUUUUUUACUAAAAGAACAUUAACUACAUGUGCUUAAUACCUCAUUGAUAAAUUCAUUCAAAACACAAAGUUAUUGGAAAAAAUCUUCUACUUUGGAAAAAGUGUACUGCAUUUGAACCAGAAGCUGGUGGUAGUGAUAACAGCACAUUCCGUUUAUGCAACCCUACAAAAAAGUUGCCACAAAUGUGGCCUUUUAAAGAAUUUUGAACAUAUGGUUAUUUGGAACCCAACUUUGUCAACCUUCAUAGCAUGGUUUGCUAUGUAAGGCUGACCUAUACAGCUUUUUGCUUGAGGUAUACCAGUAGUAUUCUGUUUUGUUUUAGGUGAGUAUAAACCAGGAAGUUUGUGAAAAUGGACACAAGACAGACUCAAAUUAAAAACGUACUAACAUUAAGCUGUCAGAGUGUUAAGCAAAACCAAUUCAAAACUAGACUGAACUGUGGCAGCACCUCUCAAGUGUAGUUAAGAUCAGAAAAUUGGUAAGUGAAAUCAUGUAUCCAUAUUUACCCUUGAACACGGUUAUGAAAAUGAGAUUUACAAUUCAAGAGGAAUUGUUUCCAGCUAUCAGUACUACAGAUUCAACCAGAGUUCCGAGUGUAUUAUUUCUCUUGCAUACCUGCCACUCUGCAGAGAUGACUAAGGAAAAGUAUGUAUUAAUGGUGUUCUGUUUGGAAGCUUAUCUUUGCAAUUAUGAAAGCUAAAAAGUUUAAAAACUGAGCCCUGAAGCUAACAUUAACAUUUCAUAUGGCUUAUGUAAAUACAUCAAGUAGGUGGGAUCUGGCCU
Molecule: long non-coding RNA, 2158 nt
Organism: Mauremys reevesii (Reeves's turtle)
Lineage: Eukaryota; Metazoa; Chordata; Testudines; Geoemydidae
Exons: 4
Source: RefSeq, a predicted model, not a curated record